This is a long non-coding RNA of Stylophora pistillata, 3420 nucleotides long. NCBI's taxonomy places the organism in Eukaryota, Metazoa, Cnidaria, Anthozoa, Scleractinia, Pocilloporidae. The record is from RefSeq and is a predicted model, not a curated record.
AUGACCACAAUUCUUUCUGCUGCUAUAUACCGCAUAAAAUUAAUUGUUGUUAUUGUUUUUAUGUGCAACUAUAAAGUUAUUGGGUGUCUGUCCACUGCUUACGUUUUUUAGAGGUCUGCGUUUUUGGAAUCAAGUGUAGACUCUUGUAAGAAAUAGCGAAACUCACAAUACGCUUUUAGCAAUAGUCCAAUGUGUAUCUUUUGCAAAGUCUCUAAUUUCAUGAUCAGCAACACCUUUAGGUCAUUCUUGCUGGCUCUCAAGGAUAAUUGUUUUUUAGGGAUUGGACAGUCCUUUAAAAUGGAAAGGCAUGCUUUUGAACAGUUUUCCACAUCUACCCCAUGUUCCAAGAAAUGUUGGAGGAAACUGCAUUAAUCGUUCAGGAAAGGAGAUCUUAAUAUUUUUUUUCUCCUUCAACAGGUCUCAUAGUUUGUUUUCCCUUUUCCUGGAAAAAAUUCUUAACCAAUGAAGGAUUAUGUAUAGACAAUCUUUAUUUUAGACACUGGAAUAAAGUGAGGUUGGGCAUUCUUCUAGGUAUACCUAAUACAGUCUGUACUUCCAACUUUUAAAUUAGAUUAUUCACCUGUUUUAUGCUCAUCACAACCAGUUCUGGCUAAAAAUGUUUGCAUGAAAUUUUGUAUUGUGAUCUCUUAUUAUCUUUCUUACAAGUUCCUGAGUCAAAACUAUAACAAUAUUCUAGAAGGUUAUUGGUUAUGUAAUAAUAAUGAUAAUAAUAAUAGUAAUGAUAAUAAUUGUUAUUCAACCAAGUGACCUCUUCAGCAUAAAAUGCUGAUAUCAAUAAGGACCCCGCACAUAAAAAAAAAGAGGAAAAGAGCCUAAGAAGCCUAAAAAACAGCUACUAACUUUAAAAUAGGAGUUUUGAAAAUCAUGACUGAUUUAAGUUCCUUCAUUUCAUUAGGGAUUUCGCUAAAAAGUUUUGAUCCCUUUAAUGAAGACUUCCUUGCAGUCUCAGUUCUCACUUUGGGAAGCAUUAAGUUCUUCCCACUUACCCUCGUAUCGUGGAUAGUUCUAAAAACCUUAAAACAAUCUUUAAAAUACAUUGGAGGGGAUCCCUUUAAGCAUUUGAAAGUUAAAUUAAUAGUGUGCAUGUCACGCCUCAUAGACAAGGGAAACCAUUUUAAAUUCUUGGCAUCUGAAUCUUUGAUCUUCAAGAGUCUCAUAUGAUCACUUAUAGGAAGUAAAAAUUGCUGCUUUAAGCAUUGGGGAAUUACAUAAAAUGGUCAAUGAAAUUUAAACUUGAUAGUGAAAAUGUAAAUAUUUCAUAAAAAUGCCCUCUUUUUUCUAAGUGAAAGGAUGGGUCAUAUGUAAUGGGGAGCGGUCUAUUACAUCCCUUGUAAUUGUCGUGGGGCAAGCUAUAUGGGAGAAACUAAACGGUCCUUUAAAACACAGAGCGACGAGCAUCGCGCGCGGACCAAGUUCCACCCCUGCCGAGGUUUCUCGCCAAAUACACACCGCAAUGGUAGACCAUGGAGUCAACAUCGAGUCCUCUAAGAUGUUAACGAUUGCGCCGAAGUGGUUCGAAAGGGGUGUGAAAAAAGCGAUAAACAUCAAAUUUAACCGCCCCACCCUGAAUCGUGACGGGGGAAGUUACAACCUUCCAGCAGUAUAGAGCAAUCUGCUGAAGGGACGAACUAGAAUUAGAGGGGUUGGGAUCCUGGCACGAACUCACACAUCCGGUAACCUCGCCACUUUAGGCGAGGUUACUGAGUUAUUAAGGCUAGAGGUCUAGGCGAAAGUUUUCACUUUUUAGGCAAUCUUUUCCGGUGUACAAAAGUUUACAUAUUGUUUAUCUUAGAACGUGUUGCAAUUAUAGAUCGUAGUUAUAACUCGUCUCACAGGGGAUAAAAGUUUCAAUAAAAGGCAGUGGCAGAAGCGUUAUGUGUCUAUCACUUCAAUUUUCAUUUUGUUUCAAUUCGUGUGUAGAGGCAAAAUUCCGAAGGUGGACUUUCUCACGGAUUCGAAUGGCAAAGUGAUAACAGGAAAUAAUUUUGGUUUAAGCGUAUUCACUGGGACAGCUUUUCUGCCCGAACCUUUGCGACCAGGGCCACUAUGGCAGCUUGAUAAUAAGACGCCUUUCCCGGAAGAACUUGGAUUAUAUUUCAAUAAACCUUCUCACGGUAUAAUUGCGCCAACCCAACCAGUCACUCCUUCUACAGUACAAAACAUGCUGAGGUGUCUUCACUGGAGGAAAAUACAAUCUCGGCAAUCCGGCGCUCUUCAAUGAUAUGCACAUACCAGGCCGAACUUUGUAUUGCAAUGAAGAUUGAAUAUUGGCUUGACUAAACUGUUUGACAUGUCUUGCGUCAACGUCUUUAUUCACCCACUGAAGGAAAAAGUUGGGCAUGUUGUAAUUUUCUUAAAUCUAAAUAAGAAAUUGUUUAAAAACACCCUCUUAUUUUAAGUACUGCACUCUCUCUCUUGAUCGAUCUUGAGUUCAUAUAUGAAUGUAGCUGGCCGAUAAAUGCACGAUUCCGAACGCAAGAACAAGUUGUUCUCUAAUCGAUUAGUGAUGAUAAUAGGACUGCUUAGGGUCCGAUUCGGUCUGUAAUCAUACGAGUGAUUAACAAAUCGGACGACCGUGCAGCGGGAGUCCCACUUAUUAAUUACGGGUAUGAUUAUUAGAACGGCGAAUUGGGCGGCACGAAGUGUUAUAAAAAUUCACGUUUUGUAAUUGACCGGUGAAUAUGACGACUUUGCUUAAAUAUGUAUAUUGUAUCUAUGUAUAUGAUAUCUAUGUGAAUUGUACUCGUAUUUAGAUUGUUCUUAUUCAUGCUCGAUCGAAGGACAUACGCAUAAGUGACGUCACCUUUAACAACAAUUUGCUUUUUUGUCAUAUAAGAUAACUAUAUUCUAUCUUACCGUGGGUCUUUACCAUAAUGGGUCACAGAAAACGUCAAAGUUCGGUGAACACAUCAUUGACCAUCACUCUUAACUUCGCCUUGUGUGCAACUUUUUUCGAUAAGACAGCAUUUCUCAUCAGGUUUAAAGGUAGCUCUUAGGUUGGGAGCUAUUUUCGCGAGCUAAUUGAAGUUUUUUUAAAAAAAAAGAACUACAAUGAAAAUAGUUCUUGACGUUUUUAUGAUUUUCUAAGCAGCUUUUGAUAAUUCAGUCGUACCUGAUUGUAUGACUUAUCUCUGUAGUACUUUUAAAUUACCAACAUUAAAAGUUCUGAAAGAUAAUUUUUUGGUACGACGAGCACAGUUGAGUCACUUGUUUAACUCUUAUCUUGCCUUUUCCAUCGUCCCAUGACACUCAUUCCUUAAAACAACCAUCGCUGAUAGUCUUUUGUAUAUCCACAUAGAAGUCUGCGCUAUAUAAAUGUAAAUAUGUAAUAAUAUGUAGGGUGUUAUUUUCCUUUCAUAGUUCGGGAUUACCAAUAAACUCACUCAAGCUAAGACGGCA